GCUGCUGCUGCUGAGGCUGCUGGCGGAGGCCGGAGGAUCGGGCGGCGACGUCGGCGGCGGCUGAGAGGGCGGCGGCGGGAGCGGAGCGGGACGAGAGAGCGAGGGGAAGCGAGCGAGGAGCGAGCGGAGCGCGCCCUUCCGCCGGCGGGAGGAGCCAGAGCAGCCCGGGCCCCGCCGCCGCCGCCGCCUGCCCGCCGGACAAAGCCGAGAGCCCGCGCCUAGAGCCAUGUCCUCGUCUGCCGGAAGCGGCCACCAGCCCCGCCAGAGCCGCGCCAUUCCCACCCGCAUCGUGCCCAUCAGCGACGCCGCGCAGCUACCUCAUGACUAUUGCACCACGCCCGGGGGGACGCUCUUCUCCACCACGCCAGGAGGAACUCGAAUCAUUUAUGAUCGAAAGUUUCUGUUGCAUCGGCGCAACUCUCCCAUGGCUCAGACCCCGCCCUGCCAUCUGCCCAAUAUCCCUGGAGUCACCAGUCCUGGCACCUUAAUCGAAGACUCCAAAGUAGAAGUAAACAAUUUGAACAAUUUGAACAAUCAUGACAGGAAGCAUGCAGUUGGGGAUGAUGCUCAGUUUGAGAUGGACAUCUGACUUUCCUGCAAAGAUUUGAAGAAAAACAGCAAAGCUGACAUCUAUGUGAACCUGAUUGGCCAACAGGAUCAACAGCGAAGAGACAGAGCAGCAGUACUAGCAGCCCGCAUUAGUCCCCAGUCCCCUCUUCCUCUGGGUGCCGAAUGAUGGGAAGAUGAGCUCAUCUGACCAUUUCUUUUUCCUAUUUCCUGUCCCCUGCCCAGUUAGUUGUACAGGUUAGAUUGAAGGCCCUUGGUGUAUUUCUGUAGUGCUAAGCAGCCCAUAGAGGAAAACUCUGGCUUCUCUGGUUGUUUAUUGUGAACCACCCCCUAGCCCCCUUAAAUUUAUCCCAAACGGAUAUCAGCUUAUCAACAACUGCCUGGCUGGGAAGUCUAGGGAAGAGAUACAGAGGUUUCAUGGGUUCAGCAUCACUCCUGCUUCUUAGCCUUUGUUUCUCCUCCCUGUAUCUCA
Molecule: RNA transcript, 1039 nt
Organism: Carlito syrichta (Philippine tarsier)
Lineage: Eukaryota; Metazoa; Chordata; Mammalia; Primates; Tarsiidae
Gene name: eukaryotic translation initiation factor 4E-binding protein 2 pseudogene
Exons: 1
Source: RefSeq, a predicted model, not a curated record